Molecule: ribosomal RNA, 497 nt
Filed under: uncultured bacterium
Lineage: Bacteria
Description: partial 16S ribosomal RNA
Rfam family: Bacterial small subunit ribosomal RNA
Source: RNAcentral
GAUGAACGCUGGCGGCGUGCCUAAUACAUGCAAGUCGAGCGAACAGACGAGGAGCUUGCUCCUCUGACGUUAGCGGCGGACGGGUGAGUAACACGUGGAUAACCUACCUAUAAGACUGGGAUAACUUCGGGAAACCGGAGCUAAUACCGGAUAAUAUAUUGAACCGCAUGGUUCAAUAGUGAAAGACGGUUUUGCUGUCACUUAUAGAUGGAUCCGCGCCGCAUUAGCUAGUUGGUAAGGUAACGGCUUACCAAGGCAACGAUGCGUAGCCGACCUGAGAGGGUGAUCGGCCACACUGGAAGUGAGACACGGUCCAGACUCCUACGGGAGGCAGCAGUAGGGAAUCUUACGCAAUGGGCGAAAGCCUGACGGAGCAAAGCCGCGUGAGUGAUGAAGGUCUUCGGAUCGUAAAACUCUGUUAUUAGGGAAGAACAAAAGUGUAAGUAACUAUGCACGUCUUGACGGUACCUAAUCAGAAAGCCACGGCUAACUACGUG